GAUGAACGCUAGCUACAGGCUUAACACAUGCAAGUCGCGGGGCAUCAUGGAGGUUGCUUGCAAUUUCUGAUGGCGACCGGCGCACGGGUGAGUAACGCGUAUCCAACCUUCCCAUUACUACGGCAUACCCCGUUGAAAGGCGGCCUAAUUCCGUAUGCAGUCCGAAGCAGUCAUCUAAUUUGGACGAAAGGUAUAUUCUAUCGGUAAUGGAUGGGGAUGCGUCCGAUUAGCCAGCCGGCGGGGUAACGGCCCACCGGGGCAUUGAUCGGUAGGGGUUCUGAGAGGAAGGUCCCCCACACUGGAACUGAGACACGGUCCAGACUCCUACGGGAGGCAGCAGUGAGGAAUAUUGGUCAAUGGGCGUAAGCCUGAACCAGCCAAGUAGCGUGCAGGAUGACGGCCCUAUGGGUUGUAAACUGCUUUUAUGCGGGGAUAAAGUUGGGGACGUGUCCCUUUUUGCAGUACCGCAUGAUAAG
This 476-nucleotide ribosomal RNA is filed under the name Hoylesella oralis. RNAcentral describes it as "bacterial SSU rRNA". It matches the Rfam family "Bacterial small subunit ribosomal RNA", at positions 28 to 489 of the family's 1533-position model. Lineage: Bacteria; Pseudomonadati; Bacteroidota; Bacteroidia; Bacteroidales; Prevotellaceae. The record is from RNAcentral.